AGAUUAAGUUAUUAAGGGCGCACGGUGGAUGCCUUGGCACUAGAAGCCGAUGAAGGACGUUACUAACGACGAUAUGCUUUGGGGAGCUGUAAGUAAGCUUUGAUCCAGAGAUUUCCGAAUGGGGAAACCCAGCAUGAGUUAUGUCAUGUUAUCGAUAUGUGAA
This 163-nucleotide ribosomal RNA is filed under the name Staphylococcus aureus. RNAcentral's name for it is "partial 23S ribosomal RNA". It matches the Rfam family "Bacterial large subunit ribosomal RNA", at positions 1 to 162 of the family's 2925-position model. The record is from RNAcentral. Lineage: Bacteria; Bacillati; Bacillota; Bacilli; Caryophanales; Staphylococcaceae.